AGGUGCUGCAGCCCUCCGAGCAUCAUCUGGAUUCACCCCAGCAGGUCCAUGUCCUUGUUCUAUCCUCUGCAGCUUCUCCUGUAUUGCUGGUACAUCACAAAAAAGUAAUUGUAAGCCAAUAAUCAUUGCCAGGAGCUCCUUCCCAGUGAUUCCAGUGCUUCUGCACCCUGGUCAUGACACGAUUAUUGCCACACCACAUGGGCAUCAGGUGUCUCCUCAGACCAGAGUGCACAGGAUUCAGCAAUCCCUUUCAUUUUGGAUGAGGAUUCCAGGUGGACUUUAAGGGUUGUUGGGUCUUUCUGCAGCUGGAAGCACAAGCCCCUUAAAUUCUGCACUCUCCUUGGUGCAGCCACAGUUCCUGAACUGGGAAAAGGAGACACGACCAGAUGCUUCCAGUGGGGGAGAGGUGGCACAAAGGAAUCAGUGCAUGAGAUUGCCAUGGAGAAGGCUGGGGAAGAUGUUUGGGCCCUUAUUAAAACUACAUGGACAUAAAUACAGAUGCAGGAGUUCAGCUUGAGGUCUAUGUUUUGUGCCAGUAUUGCCUGACUGGGUAAGAUUUUGCACUUCUUUAGUUUCCUGGAUAAUUUCAGGGUUUGGGUAUAUACUGGCUAAAGUGGUCAAGGAUUUGUGGGGUUUGGGAUAAGAAAAUGUUGGAACUGUUGCAACAGAAUGUUUACAUUAAAAGAAUAAAUGCAAAAGUAAUUUCUGUAUAACAAGGAAGAAUUAUCCCCAAAGAGUGCUUGAAGAAUAAUUGAUGACUACAAUCAGCCACUAAAAUAGCUCUUCAGCACAGUUAGAUUGUAAAUAUACCUCCAUGACUAACUUAAUUAGAACAAUUACCAGGGGACUUGCCUUGGCUUAAAAUAAUAUGUCCCUUUUUAUGACUUUUGGAGACAGGUGAACUUGAUCUUCUUGUCUUCUCUAAUGCUCACAUCCAGUAACAUAUUUGGGACAAUUAGGUCUUUAAUCACCUAAAGAAAACAUAUCAUCACUCACUCUGGCAGCAGAGAACUGUUCCCAGCACAGAGAUUGUUCUGGUGUGCAACUCAAGGGCUUAAUUUAAAAAAUGGACCUGAAUGAUACAGAUGCACUUUUGUGAAAGGAAAACAUCAGGACAUUAUGACAUGGCUUCAGAAAAAUAACUUCCCCUCCUCUGUUGGUGUCGUUGGUGUCAGUGGGAGGAGCAGGAUGUGAUAAUUGGACAGGAUCUGAUAUCCAGCUAUCCAGGCAAAGCACAGCUGGGGAGAGAUGAUUAGGAGAUGCAGUGAGGUGUUAGAUGUGCUCAGUCCUUCUCAAAGGAAAAGAGCUCCACUUCUGCCUUCUUCCCAUCUUGUUCCUGACUCUGUGGUCUUGCUGCUUACCUUGGAUCAUCUCUGGUGCUCAUCAGAGCCAGUACAGCUCAUUAUUCCCACAAAACACCAGAAAGUUCUCUUACUGGGCUGGCAACAAGGACUGGCUCAGAGAAGAGCCCACAAGCCCAGGGCAGUGCAAGGAGAGGUGGGAGCCAGUUCCAGGGUGAGGAUGACCCUUCCCUGGCCAUGAGGAGGGCUCAGCUGCCCAUCCAGCAUCAGCCUUAGCCAUUCCAGAGUGUUUUUGCCAGUGCAGAGGUUGGAUCUGGCUCAUCUUCAGGCACUGGCUUCUUUUAAGUUGAUUGUUUAAAGAAAAAGAGUAAAUGAAUGGCUUUCUCAUCACCCCUGCCAUCAGUUUUUACUGAGUGCUUUCAGGCUGAUGAAACUCUUCUGUCAAAGAGAUUAGUGGGGAAAAUCCUACCUGUUAUAUAACACUCAUUUUGGGGAAAAAACACUCUUUAUGAGAAACACAAUGCUUAUUUCCUCCAGUGAGAUUAACAUUGGUUUUGUUUUCCUUUUUUUUGUUACUAGCAGUUCAAUGUUUACCUUCAAGGCUCUCUGAAGGGAGUUGCCCACAGAGCCACAGUUGAACUUGCUUUCUGUUUCAGCCACCUCUUGAAGUCCUUUCCAGGCAGAAGGACAGGUCUCACCUGGCCCCAGGUGAAACCUCAGUCAGACACAGCUUGAGAGAAAUCACCAGCAGCUUUCCUGAAUUGGUGGUUUGACCAUCCCAGUGGCAAUAUCCAUUUACAGCUCCCACUUCUUUUCACUGUGUUUGAAAGACAAAUUCAGUUCCCCAGACAGGUGUGUGGUGUGGUCACAUGGAGGGUUUUGCUGACCUCCUUAAGAGGAGCUGCAGGGCAGGGUGAGAAAUCCCAUCCAAGGCUGUGGCUUGAGCUGCCCUUUAGUGAACAGCCUGGAAAAACGAGUCAGUCCCCCCCACACCUCCUUCCACUUCAGCUUCCCACCCAGGUGUAAAAAUGUGCUGGUGUUGCUCCCUGCCAGCUCCCAGCUGUGUAAAGGACAUCUGCCUUAUGAAGGGAAACACAGAUCCUUCUCCCAUGUAACACCUUUUACAGAGGUUCACAGACCUGGGGAAGCAUCUCUGGCUUGGCUGUGAAUGUCAUGAGGUGGAUGUGCAUUUUUAACAUGAGACUUUUGAAUUCACUGUCAUCAACUGAAACAGGAGAAUGGAGAGUGCAGUUGCAAUGUUUAUUUGAGCAGUGAGGCUACUAUAGAGCUCAUGGGGUCUGCCAGUGCUUGUGUUUGGCUGAUUGCUGAUAGCUAUGCAGAUUUUAUGUGAAUUCAAGAUAGCAGAAGACAAUGAGGUGCUGUUGAAAAUCCAGACAGAAAGGUUAUUGGGAUUGGCCAAGAGUUGUUUGGAGUGAAUACCCAAAGAGUGCUCAGCUCUGUACAUAACUUCGUUUUCAAUGUGCUUCCUUAAGAAACAUUUACUACCACUGCCCCUCUGUCACAUGGAAGAGGUGCUGUUUAGUUUCUAUCACUCAAAACUGAUAAAGUGUCCACAAGCAAGGAUGCUUCUUUAGAAAGCCCUUUUUUGCAGCUGGUUGUAAAACAGCAGUUUUGUUGUCCUUGCAAGAUUUUAAUAGGGAGGAAGUUAGAAAUAUAAAUACCCCAUCCAUAGCCUAUUUAUUCUGCUCAUUUCCUAUUUCCUUGCUCAGAAAUUGUCUCGGGGUCACUUGAGGCUGUAACUGGAGAUGCACAGCAGCUCUCACCAGGCUGCCUUGCCUCCUGCGGGCUCAGAUUUGCCACAUUCAGAGUGAAUCAAAUUGUUCCAGAAAAUUACAUGCAGUCCCAAAAACAGUUGUGUACAGGUAUGGGGAAUCUGAUCUGUCCUGAAUAUUUAUAGUAGUAGUAGUAAUUUGUUUGUUUUCUUGUGCUUGUCUUGCACAGCUACAGAGGCAUUUGUUCUCCAGGGCCCACAAUAGCUGGAUGGGGAUAGCAGAGAUUGCUGUGAUAAUCUGUUUGCAAAUAAUGAUUAGCAGAACAAUGCACUAAAGCUUUGAAGAUUCCCACAAAGAAUUCAGCAUGUCUGAAUUAACCACAGGAAGGACUGGGGUCUGGGUCUGGGGGAGGGCUACGGCAGCAGGAGAUGGAAGCUGGCGGGAGGAGAUUUUUGGUAUGAAGAAAAGCAGAUGUGAACACAGGGUUUGUCCAUACUCUCUUCCCAA
Molecule: non-coding RNA, 3541 nt
Organism: Cyanistes caeruleus (blue tit)
Lineage: Eukaryota; Metazoa; Chordata; Aves; Passeriformes; Paridae
Source: RefSeq, a predicted model, not a curated record